Molecule: ribosomal RNA, 500 nt
Filed under: Actinomycetes bacterium
Lineage: Bacteria; Bacillati; Actinomycetota; Actinomycetes
Description: bacterial SSU rRNA
Rfam family: Bacterial small subunit ribosomal RNA
Source: RNAcentral
AUUAAAUUCCCCGCCUGGGGAAUAAGGCCGCAAGGCUAAAACUUAAAGGAAUAGACGGGGGCCCGCGCAAGCAGCGGAGCAUGUGGGGUAAUUUGACGCAACGCGAAGAGCCUUACCAAGGCUUGGCAUAUACCGGAAAGCAUCAGAGAUGGUGCCCCCCUUGUGGUCGGUAUACAGGUGGUGCAUGGCUGUCGUCAGCUCGUGUCGUGAGAUGUUGGGUUAAGUCCCGCAACGAGCGCAACCCUUGUUCUGUGUUGCCAGCAUGCCUUUCGGGGUGAUGGGGACUCACAGGAGACUGCCGGGGUCAACUCGGAGGAAGGUGGGGACGACGUCAAGUCAUCAUGCCCCUUAUGUCUUGGGCUGCACACGUGCUACAAUGGCCGGUACAAUGAGCUGCGAUGCCGCGAGGCGGAGCGAAUCUCAAAAAGCCGGUCUCAGUUUGGUUUGGGGUCUGCAACUCGACCCCAUGAAGUCGGAGUUGCUAGUAAUCGCAGCUCAGC